Molecule: long non-coding RNA, 765 nt
Filed under: Falco tinnunculus (common kestrel)
Lineage: Eukaryota; Metazoa; Chordata; Aves; Falconiformes; Falconidae
Description: lncRNA (ENSFTIG00000011858.1)
Source: RNAcentral
UUGUCAGCACUGUCUGUGAGGAGCUCUGUGAUAACAUACUGUGAAAUUCACUCUCGUGUCUACAAAGGAAUAAAAAAUGGCUCAUCUGAGUCACUAGAUGUCACACAGAGUAAACAACAACAAAACCAGGAUGCAGUUAUUUUGCGGCUUCGCCAAAAAAGAUACCCUUACUGCUGAAUAGGUUGCUACUAAUUCAGCUGCCUGGGAACCUGGGUAUAUGCUAGUAAGGGGAAGGAAACACGGAUUCCGCAGGGCUGUGCCCAGGACCCCUGAUGGCAUGGCAGCAUCUGCAGAGUGUGCUGGAGAUGGAGAGGGGGAUCCUGAUCCUUCGCUAUUCAUUACUCUGACGCCUGUUUACUGACUUCAGCCAAGGACAUGGACCAAGCCUAGGGAGCAGCUGAUCUGCGUCAGCAAGAUGGCAUAUACACACAGCAUGAACCUCAGCUUGGUGCUCCUCUGCUGCUGCCGCCCUGCGUGACACCAGCCUCCCUGUCAUCCUGCUGCUGACUGGCUUGAACCAGGGGGGCAAAACGGUGUCUAAACGGCAUCACAGAACAGAGGAGCCUUAACCCUUCUCACUUUGCUCUCAGAUACCCCCAGUAAGAAGGGGGAAGAUCGCGAGGCUCUCCGAGAGGCACGUGCCACCUGGCAGUCCCUCCUAUAUGUGGUUACUUUCCCUGGCCUAAGAGGCUUUGACAAAUGCCAAAACCAGAGAACCGAAAGCUACCGUGACAUGUAACUUCUCACUUCAACUGCUCUUCUUAU